UAUAGCGAAAGUCAGAUAGAGCGGGCAAGGCGCGGAGACAGAAACAAAGUAGUGGGAGCGAGGGAGCGACUGCGAGCAGCGGUGGUGUGAGAAGGGGCGUAUGGCACCCAUUAUCUUGUUUAUUAAAAGCAAGUUUCUUUCCUUCGCUCCCUCCUCCCCAUGCAGCUGACCGCAGAUAUUUCCAAGGGCCUCGCUCUGCUGUUCUGUGCCUACUUCACAGGCAGCUGGAAGGGUCACAGAAGUUGAAACCAGAGGGUGUCAAUCGCCUGUUUCGCUUUGUGACCCACUGGAGGCAUCUCAAAGCCAGAGAGAAGUGUGCAUGUGUACGAGCGGUAUGCGCCUGUUUGCAUGUGCGUGUGUAUAGCUGAGCAUAAUUUAUGUGUGCAUGUGCAUCUAGUGAUGAAGCACCAAUAAAACAAACUAUGAGGAAAGGGAGAGACUGCGCGCACUGUGUGGAAACUGCAAGACCUGCAGCUCCCGACGAAGCUGGAACUCAUCGUUCAGAGAGAACUGCGUCAAGAACAUGUUUAACCAUGCAAACUGUCGGUGGGCCAUCGUCACAUGUCCUGCCCCACCCACGCACGCUGCAGUACAGUAGUCACUCAGCUGAUUACAUGAUUGAGAAUUACUCCGGAGUGGACUUUUGGAAGAGCGGCACAGUUUUUUUGUUUUUUCUUUAGUUUGGUUAGAUACAUGGAAAAACUGAGAAACCUAUCAAUCAGUGGCCACUCGCAACACCUUCUGAGGAGAAAAAGAAGAAGUGCAAGAAGAGGAGAAGGAACAGAGAAAGAGAGAGAGAGAGGAGAAAGACGUCACCAUGCAAUCUGCUCCCUCAGCACAGCGUCUCAGAUGUGGUCUGGCACCUAGUUCACAAAGCCAACCAGAUCCACACAUUGCCUUCAUAUAUCUCUGGAAACGGGGUGAGCGGAGGGCGUGUGAUGGGGAAUGAGAGCAAGAGACAGAAACUGGGAGCGGGUGACAGGGGAGGAGGGGGGAUGGUGGUGCUGGUGGGUGUGUGUGUGUGUGUGUGAGGGGGGCUGAAGAAGAAAGGGAAGAGCAAGUCUUUUGUGUUUACUCACACCGAGUCGCUGCCAGAAACUUUAGACCACAUAAGCGAUUCACUUUUGUCAUCUUUGCUGACCCAGUCCCAUGUAAAAGAUUGAUGAGCGAGAUGAUGAACUAAAAUAAACCAAUCUCACAGUCACUCACACAGACAGACAGCCAGGGAGGCAGGCGAGCAGCCAGGCAGACCCUCUUCAGUGAGCAAAACCAGACCCAGAUUCUCUCUGGCCAAAUCGCUCUCUCUCAUUUUUCCCUUCUUUUUCCUUUUUUUUGUUUUUUCCUCAGUGGUCAUUCAGUAGCAGCCUGCUGCCCUCUUUUGUCAGUGUCAUGGCUGCACUGGACUGUUGUUUUGAUCACAGUAUUGAAAGGCUUCCAGGGAAAAAACUUGGUGGUCAAACUGACGAUCCCCAGUCAAUAAAAUGAAAUCUACAGUUUAAAUGUUGGACACAUUUUCUUCUUUCAGAUCAUUUAACCUGUUAAAAUCUGCUCCUUCGUUUUCUUAAUAUAUUCCUCUCGCUGGAACGAUUACGUAACUAAAUAAAUGAUAUUCUAAGGAACACGAUGCGACUGUGCGCUGCUUCCCCUCACCCUGAAAUGCUCCUCAGCAGUAUGCACAAGCGCAGCUUUUUAUGAAUCCAUAAAAUGAUGUCUUGUUUUAACGAGAAAAGAAAUUCAUUGCUACCGUAAUUGGUAAGUGCCCAAAUCAUUAAGCCCUAAUGCAGGGCAUUUCCUUUGGAGGUAGUUUCCAUUUAAGAGACAAGUGUCUAAUUGGUGAGUUGCUGAAAAGCAAGCGCUACCUCCCCAGAGAUCGUUUCUGAAAUCAUAUAGAGGAUAAUUCCCUUUCAAUUAAAAGCUACAGUAUUCCAGGUUUUGAUUUAAUUGAAUGAGUUUUUUUUUUUUUUUUUCCAAAUGGAGGGGGACUUGGUUGGGGAGGGGUGGCAGCGCCGUGAUUCCAUUAAGGGUGGUGUAAUAUUACGAGGCCAGUGUGAAAAUAUCACUCCGUCUGAGGAAAAUAGAGCAAUAUCAGAAACAGAUUGCUUGAAAAACAGAACACUCCAAAGUAGACGGCGGCUGGUCGGCAUGGGUGCAGAUUGAAUAAACAAUGUUGGGCGCGGAAAGUAUAAUGCUGAAUAAAGAUGACCCGCUGCUGCCAACGCCGCCGCCGCUGCAUUUGAAUAUUAUUGGAAUUAAUUUGUCAGACGAUACCGAACAUUGACUAUUUGUCAGGAGACUGAAGAGAUUUCCCGCAGUUUUCAAAGAAAUGUGUGCGCGCAUGUGUGGAAUGUAGCGAGGGGGAAUUGUUUCUUGGAUAAAUCAUGGUUCAAACAUGGAUGCCAACCCGGGCCUUGCAGCUUUUGGUUUGGUUUUUUUCCCAGCUUCAUUCAUUACAGUGUAAGAAAGGCUAAAAGAGACUUGAUAGUCAAAUUACGAGCCUAUCCUCUGAAAAGUUAUCUUGUUGUCUCGCUUUCUUCUGUCAGCUCUCCUGCUCCCUCUCUCUCUUUCUGCACCCCCCACCCCCCCUCUUCCUCCCUCUCUCUCCCUGGCAGGUGUCACACCCACACUGUGGCCUCUGGGCUGCAGUAGCAGUGCAGCGCGCAGAGAUAAGGGCUGUACGGAGACAAGCGCACAUCCUGUAUGAGGUUAGGGCCCCACUAGCGCAGCACUCCGCUGCAAUGUAUAUUUGUGUGUGUACAAGUGUGUAUGUGUGUGUGUGUGACCGCAGGCUCCUUCCCGUCUCCACGCCAAUGAGGACAGAGCCUGCGGUUGCCAAGCGCAGGUGUGUGUGUGUAUGUGCGGCGACAAAGACAGACCUGAGAAACUCCGCCGUGUUCUGAUCUCAUGGUCGUUUUGAUAAGUCUCUAAGCAAACAAGGUCAGGAGGGGUGAGGCGGCCCUACCGUUAUGACGGCGGUCUACAGAUGUCGUGAUCUCACUGUACUCUUUCAACUCCCCUCACUUGAGGCUCGUCUGCGGUUUUGAGAUGACACUGUUCAAUACAAAGGUUUCUGUCUCUAUUUCAUUGUCAAAUAUCGUCACUGAUCUUUUCGUGCCGCUUGGCACUUUAGGAGGGGGAGGACGCCUGUGAAACUUGUUGGUGGCCCGGGAUUGAAAUUCAAAUCAGAGUCGCAAACCCAUUUGUCAAAGGCAACGUGUGCAUGAGCUGAACUUUGACAGGCAAAAACCAAGUUUGUUCACACUUUCUUCACACAUCUGGGACUGCAAUGCCCUCUCAUGGCUGCACGAGCACACACCCAGAGAGCAGUUUAAAUGGAGAGGGGAAAAAAAAGUGAAAGCAAGCCUCCCGCAAUGUGAGCGAGAUAUUGUGUCGAAUGAGGGUGGACGUGUUCGGGGAGUGGGGGGGAGGGGGUUCACAUGUUGUCAGUAUGGAAAGGAUUUCGAGCCUCCCGCUCUGUACUGUAAAUUGCUCUGCUCUUCAUCCAAGCCGUGCUGCGAGCAAGGGGCGGCUAAUGCGUGCAUCAUCGCCGCCGUUGACGUUCGCACGUGUGUGUGUGUGUAUUUAAAGGAAACCUGUGUUUACCAGCUUUGUGUGAACUUAUGAAUUUAUGUAUGUGCACAUGUGAUAACAAAUUUUCCAAUAUUCCUAAAAGCUGUGAUAUUGCUCGAAACUACUGAAGACUCUGCACGCGUGGCACGCUCGCACGCACACGUGCGCGGCACGCUCGCGCUCACACCGGAUAUCAUCUACAGGCCAUCUCA
This 3779-nucleotide long non-coding RNA is filed under the name Oreochromis niloticus (Nile tilapia). Its description in RNAcentral is "lncRNA (ENSONIG00000042092.1)". The record is from RNAcentral. Lineage: Eukaryota; Metazoa; Chordata; Actinopteri; Cichliformes; Cichlidae.